This 759-nucleotide ribosomal RNA is filed under the name uncultured Neisseria sp. RNAcentral describes it as "bacterial SSU rRNA". It matches the Rfam family "Bacterial small subunit ribosomal RNA", at positions 28 to 776 of the family's 1533-position model. The record is from RNAcentral. Lineage: Bacteria; Pseudomonadati; Pseudomonadota; Betaproteobacteria; Neisseriales; Neisseriaceae.
AUUGAACGCUGGCGGCAUGCUUUACACAUGCAAGUCGGACGGCAGCACAGAGAAGCUUGCUUCUUGGGUGGCGAGUGGCGAACGGGUGAGUAACAUAUCGGAACGUACCGAGCAGUGGGGGAUAACUAAUCGAAAGAUUAGCUAAUACCGCAUAUCUUCUGAGGAAGAAAGCAGGGGACCAUUUGGCCUUGCGCUGUUUGAGCGGCCGAUAUCUGAUUAGCUAGUUGGUGGGGUAAAGGCCUACCAAGGCGACGAUCAGUAGCGGGUCUGAGAGGAUGAUCCGCCACACUGGGACUGAGACACGGCCCAGACUCCUACGGGAGGCAGCAGUGGGGAAUUUUGGACAAUGGGCGAAAGCCUGAUCCAGCCAUGCCGCGUGUCUGAAGAAGGCCUUCGGGUUGUAAAGGACUUUUGUCAGGGAAGAAAAGGGCGGGGUUAAUACCCCUGUCUGAUGACGGUACCUGAAGAAUAAGCACCGGCUAACUACGUGCCAGCAGCCGCGGUAAUACGUAGGGUGCGAGCGUUAAUCGGAAUUACUGGGCGUAAAGCGGGCGCAGACGGUUACUUAAGCAGGAUGUGAAAUCCCCGGGCUCAACCUGGGAACUGCGUUCUGAACUGGGUGACUAGAGUGUGUCAGAGGGAGGUAGAAUUCCACGUGUAGCAGUGAAAUGCGUAGAGAUGUGGAGGAAUACCGAUGGCGAAGGCAGCCUCCUGGGAUAACACUGACGCUCAUGCCCGAAAGCGUGGGUAGCAAACAGG